UGAAGUGUUUGUUGCCUCAAUCUGAGGCGAG
RNAcentral lists this small RNA (31 nucleotides) under Bombyx mori (domestic silkworm). RNAcentral's name for it is "ovarian small RNA-728". The record is from RNAcentral. Lineage: Eukaryota; Metazoa; Arthropoda; Insecta; Lepidoptera; Bombycidae.